This 138-nucleotide small RNA is filed under the name Rossellomorea vietnamensis. RNAcentral describes it as "Bacillus vietnamensis c-di-AMP sequence". It matches the Rfam family "c-di-AMP riboswitch aptamer (ydaO/yuaA leader)". Rfam says of the family: This family represents a conserved RNA structure found upstream of the ydaO and yuaA genes in Bacillus subtilis and related genes in other bacteria. The ydaO/yuaA element is thought to act as a genetic "off" switch for the ydaO and yuaA genes in its native state. It is believed that the element may be triggered during osmotic shock leading to activation of ydaO, a predicted amino acid transporter gene, and members of the yuaA-yubG operon which code for KtrA and KtrB K+ transporters. Lineage: Bacteria; Bacillati; Bacillota; Bacilli; Caryophanales; Bacillaceae. The record is from Rfam by way of RNAcentral.
UAUUCUUUAUCGCUUAAUUCAUUUAUUGAAGCGGGGGACCCACUAGUUUCAGGGGUGAAUCCUUUCUGUUGAAAGGUAGGGCCACUUCCAUGACCCGAAUCCGUCAGCUAACUCCGUAAGCGUAUUGGGAGAGGAUGA